Gallus gallus (chicken) is the source of this 589-nucleotide long non-coding RNA. The record is from Ensembl. Lineage: Eukaryota; Metazoa; Chordata; Aves; Galliformes; Phasianidae.
GGCACAUUUCCAGCUUGGCACUUAAAUUAAUACAGUUUUAAAAUAUUAGUCUGGAACUUGAGAUCUGGCAGUACCUACCUCUAACUCAGACUUUUUCAUCAGCUUAAGUGAGCUGGCUGGUACCAGUUUCUCACAGCAGGCAACCAGAAGUCAUGGCAGCUCAGGAAAAUCUUAAUUAAAUGGCUUAAGAGUGAGAAUCUCAAUAUCAGAAGGUGCCAGCUCACUGCCACCUCUUCACACCAUGAUCAGGAUCCUCCUCCGCAAGCCCUCCCAGGUGGCACUCUCUAUGCGGAGGCCAUAAGGAUGGUCCAGGCCCACAUUCUCUUUUCCUGAACACUUGGACAUCCCUCAGCUUGUCAUCCUCACAGGUCUUCCUCUUCCUUAGCUGUGUGUUCCUCUGGAGACUGCAGGCACAACUGAAUACUUCACUGUACUGAAAGACACAAUAAACCAUAAGGGCAUUUCCUUUAAAGAAAGAUAAAGCCCAUAUCAACUCAGAAAACAGAAAAACACUUGAGCUUCUUCCUCAAUAUAAACUCUCAGUUUUGCUUUUUACAGACUGAAAAGCCACUACAAGCAGAAAAUCAUA